Molecule: ribosomal RNA, 623 nt
Filed under: uncultured bacterium
Lineage: Bacteria
Description: bacterial SSU rRNA
Rfam family: Bacterial small subunit ribosomal RNA
Source: RNAcentral
CCUACGGGAGGCAGCAGUGGGGAAUAUUGGACAAUGGGCGGAAGCCUGAUCCAGCCAUGCCGCGUGUGUGAAGAAGGCCUUUUGGUUGUAAAGCACUUUAAGCGAGGAGGAGGCUACUAGUAUUAAUACUACUGGAUAGUGGACGUUACUCGCAGAAUAAGCACCGGCUAACUCUGUGCCAGCAGCCGCGGUAAUACAGAGGGUGCGAGCGUUAAUCGGAUUUACUGGGCGUAAAGCGUGCGUAGGCGGCUGAUUAAGUCGGAUGUGAAAUCCCUGAGCUUAACUUAGGAAUUGCAUUCGAUACUGGUCAGCUAGAGUAUGGGAGAGGAUGGUAGAAUUCCAGGUGUAGCGGUGAAAUGCGUAGAGAUCUGGAGGAAUACCGAUGGCGAAGGCAGCCAUCUGGCCUAAUACUGACGCUGAGGUACGAAAGCAUGGGGAGCAAACAGGAUUAGAUACCCUGGUAGUCCAUGCCGUAAACGAUGUCUACUAGCCGUUGGGGUCUUUGAGACUUUAGUGGCGCAGCUAACGCGAUAAGUAGACCGCCUGGGGAGUCGGUCGCAAGACUAAAACGUUAAAGGAAUUGACGGCUUGAGGACCGNGCGAGGCGACGACGAGGGAGGAGG